CUUCAAAUCCGCCCGUCAUAUACCGAGGCCAACGAUCGAGCCAGCUUGCUGGUGAAGUGACUGAACGAGGUUCCAGGAAAAGCCACUAAGCUUCAGCUAUACACGACCGUACCGCAAACCGACACUGGUGCGCGAGAUGAGUAUUCUAAGGCGCUUGAGAGAACUCAGGAGAAGGAACUCGGCAAAUUGACACCGUAACUUCGGAAGAAGGUGUGCCCUAUUAGUGUGAAGUGAACAACGGAGCAUGAAUGGGUUGCAAAAAAUCGGUGGCUGCGACUGUUUAUUAAAAACACAGCACUCUGCAAACACGAAAGUGGACGUAUAGGGUGUGACGCCUGCCCGGUGCUGGAAGAUUAAAUGAUGGGGUGCAAGCUCUUGAUUGAAGUCCCAGUAAACGGCGGCCGUAACUAUAACGGUCCUAAGGUAGCGAAAUUCCUUGUCGGGUAAGUUCCGACCUGCACGAAUGGCGUAACGAUGGCCACACUGUCUCCUCCUGAGACUCAGCGAAGUUGAAAUGUUUGUGAUGAUGCAAUCUCCCCGCGGAAAGACGGAAAGACCCCAUGAACCUUUAUUGUAGCUUUGUAUUGGACUUUGAACAGAUCUGUGUAGGAUAGGUGGGAGGCUUUGAAGCAGGGUCGCUAGAUCUUGUGGAGCCAACGUUGAAAUACCACCCUGGUGUGUUUGAGGUUCUAACCUAGGUCCAUUAUCUGGAUCGGGGACAGUGCAUGGUAGGCAGUUUGACUGGGGCGGUCUCCUCCCAAAGCGUAACGGAGGAGUUCGAAGGUACGCUAGUUACGGUCGGACAUCGUGACGAUAGUGCAAUGGCAUAAGCGUGCUUAACUGCGAGACUGACAAGUCGAGCAGAUGCGAAAGCAGGACAUAGUGAUCCGGUGGUUCUGUAUGGAAGGGCCAUCGCUCAACGGAUAAAAGGUACUCUGGGGAUAACAGGCUGAUACCGCCCAAGAGUUCAUAUCGACGGCGGUGUUUGGCACCUCGAUGUCGGCUCAUCUCAUCCUGGGGCUGUAGCCGGUCCCAAGGGUAUGGCUGUUCGCCAUUUAAAGAGGUACGUGAGCUGGGUUUAAAACGUCGUGAGACAGUUUGGUCCCUAUCUUCCGUGGGCGCUGCAGAUUUGAGGAAGCCUGCUCCUAGUACGAGAGGACCGGAGUGGACACACCUCUGGUGUAUCGGUUGUCACGCCAGUGGCAUUGCCGAGUAGCUAAGUGUGGAAGAGAUAACCGCUGAAAGCAUCUAAGCGGGAAACUCGUUUCAAGAUGAGAUCUGCCGGGGCCUUGAGCCCCCUGAAGAGUCGUUCAAGACCAGGACGUUGAUAGGUCAGGUGUGGAAGCGCAGUAAUGCGUUAAGCUAACUGAUACUAAUUGCUCGUGCGGCUUGACC
RNAcentral lists this ribosomal RNA (1395 nucleotides) under metagenome. Its description in RNAcentral is "bacterial LSU rRNA". It matches the Rfam family "Bacterial large subunit ribosomal RNA", at positions 1534 to 2925 of the family's 2925-position model. The record is from RNAcentral.